UAUGUGAAUUGCAGAAUUCCGUGAAUCAUCGAAUCUUUGAACGCACAUUGCGCCCCCUGGCAUUCCGGGGGGCAUGCCUGUUCGAGCGUCAUU
Molecule: ribosomal RNA, 93 nt
Filed under: Trichophyton mentagrophytes
Lineage: Eukaryota; Fungi; Ascomycota; Eurotiomycetes; Onygenales; Arthrodermataceae
Description: partial 5.8S ribosomal RNA
Rfam family: 5.8S ribosomal RNA
About the family: 5.8S ribosomal RNA (5.8S rRNA) is a component of the large subunit of the eukaryotic ribosome.
Source: RNAcentral